UGCGGCGUAGCUCAAUGGAAAGAGCGUCCCGUUUCCUACAUGCCGAUGGCGGCGUGGGCGGGAAGGUUGCAGGUUCGAGUCCUGCCGCCGCAU
This 93-nucleotide transfer RNA is filed under the name Roseiarcus sp. RNAcentral describes it as "tRNA-OTHER". It matches the Rfam family "tRNA". Rfam says of the family: Transfer RNA (tRNA) molecules are approximately 80 nucleotides in length. Their secondary structure includes four short double-helical elements and three loops (D, anti-codon, and T loops). The record is from RNAcentral. Lineage: Bacteria; Pseudomonadati; Pseudomonadota; Alphaproteobacteria; Hyphomicrobiales; Roseiarcaceae. RNAcentral also lists the same sequence under 1 other name.